Polypterus senegalus (gray bichir) is the source of this 219-nucleotide long non-coding RNA. RefSeq lists it as uncharacterized. The transcript has 5 exons. Lineage: Eukaryota; Metazoa; Chordata; Cladistia; Polypteriformes; Polypteridae. The record is from RefSeq and is a predicted model, not a curated record.
GUUUUCUUAGGAACAGACUAUUAAAACCCAAAACUGGAAAGGAAAUUUCAGAAAGAAAUGACUGUGACCCAAUACCUGGAAAGGAAAUUUCAGAAAAAAAUGAUUGCGAUCCAAAACCUGGAAAGGGAAUUUCAGGAACAAACUGUUAUGAAUCAGCACCUGGAAAGGGAAUUUCAGGAACAAACUAUUAGGACCCGAAACCUGGAAAGGGAAUGUCAG